Orbicella faveolata is the source of this 700-nucleotide long non-coding RNA. RefSeq lists it as uncharacterized. The record is from RefSeq and is a predicted model, not a curated record. NCBI's taxonomy places the organism in Eukaryota, Metazoa, Cnidaria, Anthozoa, Scleractinia, Merulinidae.
AGUUAACAAGAAUGGAAGCUGGUCCGUCACGUUGUUCUAAAUAUUGUAUGGAGUGAAACUAAGCCGGUCUCGACGAACUAGCUGGUCAGCGUAGCCGGUGGCGAAGAUGUCGAAAAAACUGUUUGACAACCGAAAAGGGGACUGGACGCCAACAACAGCAACACCCCUACUACGCGUCUCUUUUUAAAAAACAAACGUUACAUAAUAAAAAAAAGUCCAAGGUCAUGACAUAGUCUCUGCCUUUGUUUUUUCAUCGCGGGGGAGGGUUAGUGUCCACGUUCACACAGUUCAUGAAAGCCACAAAGUAAGAUUCCUCGUGUUGCUCGCCCUUCUUUUUCCACUCCUGCCAACCCGCUUUGAAACCAGCGUGAAAUCUCGCCAUGUUGACCGGUUGACCUGCCAGGUUAGGUAGCUGAUCCGACAGGCGACGGGACAAAUUUGAACGGUAUUUGGUGAUUUCGGAGACCAGUUCCAUGCUUUCUUCGAGAAAAACCGUAUUCACCACCCAAACGAUGAAUUCUUUGGCCGGAUCUGGUGAGUUCUCCCCCUCCGGGUUCUCUGGGUUCUCCUGUGGGUUCUCUGGCGCCCUCUCCGGCCGCAUCGAAGCUAUCUUCAAAACACAAUCUAGAUCUGUCAAAAAAAAAAUGUCUGCUCACCACAAAUACCUCUCCCUUAUUUUAAGGUUACAGUAUACCUUCGG